This 67-nucleotide transfer RNA is filed under the name Ornithorhynchus anatinus (platypus). It matches the Rfam family "tRNA". From Rfam's summary of the family: Transfer RNA (tRNA) molecules are approximately 80 nucleotides in length. Their secondary structure includes four short double-helical elements and three loops (D, anti-codon, and T loops). Lineage: Eukaryota; Metazoa; Chordata; Mammalia; Monotremata; Ornithorhynchidae. The record is from Rfam by way of RNAcentral.
UGUCAUAUUGUCUAGCGGAUUCCUGGUUUUCACCCAGGCGGCCCGGGUUCGACUCCCGGUAUGGGAA